UAAGCGAAUAGUGAAAGCGUGUGGCUCAACCAUAUACACAUUAUUUGAACUGCUAAGCUAGAGAAUGAGAGAGGUUAUUGGAAUUCCCUGUGUAGGAGUGAAAUCCGUAGAUAUAGGGAGGAACACCGAUGGCGUAGGCAGAUAACUGGCUCAUUUCUGACACUAAGGCACGAAAGCGUGGGUAGCAAACGGGAUUAGAUACCCCGGUAGUCCACGCCGUAAACGAUGGAUGCUA
This 235-nucleotide ribosomal RNA is filed under the name uncultured Candidatus Saccharibacteria bacterium. RNAcentral's name for it is "partial 16S ribosomal RNA". It matches the Rfam family "Bacterial small subunit ribosomal RNA", at positions 584 to 818 of the family's 1533-position model. The record is from RNAcentral. Lineage: Bacteria; Candidatus Saccharimonadota.